GAUGAACGCUAGCUACAGGCUUAACACAUGCAAGUCGAGGGGUAACGAGAGGAAAGCUUGCUUUCCUUGUCGACGACCGGCGCACGGGUGAGUAACGCGUAUCCAACCUGCCCCCAACUAGGGAAUAACCUUGCGAAAGUAAGACUAAUACCCUAUAAUUUCCUCAGAUGUCAUCUGACGAGGAAUAAAGAUUUAUCGGUUGUGGAUGGGGAUGCGUCUGAUUAGCUUGUUGGCGGGGUAACGGGCCACCAAGGCAACGAUCAGUAGGGGUUCUGAGAGGAAGGUUCCCCACAGUGGAACUGAGACACGGUCCAAACUCCUACGGGAGGCAGCAGUGAGGAAUAUUGGUCAAUGGGCGGAAGCCUGAACCAGCCAAGUAGCGUGCAGGAUGACGGCCCUAUGGGUUGUAAACUGCUUUUAUACAGGAAUAAAGUUAGCCACGUGUGGUUAUUUGUAGGUACUGUAUGAAUAAGGACCGGCUAAUUCCGUGCCAGCCGCCGCCGUAA
Molecule: ribosomal RNA, 506 nt
Filed under: uncultured bacterium
Lineage: Bacteria
Description: partial 16S ribosomal RNA
Rfam family: Bacterial small subunit ribosomal RNA
Source: RNAcentral